Molecule: transfer RNA, 67 nt
Filed under: human gut metagenome
Also listed under: 1 other name
Rfam family: tRNA
About the family: Transfer RNA (tRNA) molecules are approximately 80 nucleotides in length. Their secondary structure includes four short double-helical elements and three loops (D, anti-codon, and T loops). Further hydrogen bonds mediate the characteristic L-shaped molecular structure. tRNAs have two regions of fundamental functional importance: the anti-codon, which is responsible for specific mRNA codon recognition, and the 3' end, to which the tRNAs corresponding amino acid is attached (by aminoacyl-tRNA synthetases). tRNAs cope with the degeneracy of the genetic code in two manners: having more than one tRNA (with a specific anti-codon) for a particular amino acid; and 'wobble' base-pairing, i.e. permitting non-standard base-pairing at the 3rd anti-codon position.
Source: RNAcentral
GGGAAUGGCUCAGUGGUAGAGCGUCGCCUUGCCAAGGCGAAUGUCGCGAGUUCGAAUCUCGUUUCCC